This is a non-coding RNA of Triticum urartu, 3482 nucleotides long. NCBI's taxonomy places the organism in Eukaryota, Viridiplantae, Streptophyta, Magnoliopsida, Poales, Poaceae. The record is from RefSeq and is a predicted model, not a curated record.
GGUGUUGUUUUCUUUGUCUCAUUUUGGUCGUCGUCGUUUCUUUCGCCUUCGCACGCACGUCUCCUCCUCUCCUCCUUUCCCAGUCGUGCACGCCUCCUCCUCCCAUUCCUUCUCCCCUUGUCCCAGCGGCCCUCAAUCUCCCACCACGACCGCUCGAGAACGACGGCGAUGAGGAGGCCCGACCCUUGGCGCAGACCCGCGCCCCCGAGCGGCGGUGACGUCAGAUCUCUCCGUCUGGCGAGGCCAGCCAUCCCGUCGGUGCCGCGAUGCCGCCAGUAUGGAAGCCUAGGCUGGGGCAGACAACGCGGCGUCGUGUGCGCCGGAGGGGGCUCUGGCGACCGCGCGGCGUCCGAUCGUGGGUUCCGGCGACGCCAAGCCGUAGAUCUGAGCCGCCGUCUCCACUUCCUCCUUCCUCACUUCAAGAUGCUUUGGCAGGGAUCCUCCAUAUCAAGGGAAGAGCGGGGUAGUGUGGGCGAGGGAAGUCCUUGUGUACCAGGUUUCUGAAAGAAACAGAAAAGGAAACAAGAUGCAGUCAAAUUUAGACCCUUUGAAGGUAGUGUUAUUGUUGAAUCUUGAUUCCUGAUGCUAUGGAUAUUGUCUGCUUUCAACCCCACCCUGUACUACUCACCAGGUAUGGAGGCUAUGUAAUAUUUAUCCUGUGUUGUCUUUCAAUACUUUCUUCUUUCUGAAAUUUAGCUGCAGACUUUAUGAUUUGGCUGCAGUAUAUAUUGCCUCUGGGUUAUGGGACUUGUCGGCGCAACCUAUCAUUUGAUAAAAUAUAUCAACCCGGGGGAAUAUACUUGUGCUGGAUUGUUUGAGACAUCAGAUAAGCCCAUGUUGCUGUAAAUUUUGCUCAUCUAUUGACGAGGGUAGGAAAUAGUCAGGGGCCUCCUCAUCUUUCAUGUUAUAUCACUUCUUUACGCUUCCACAGCGUAACUCCUUAUUUGUUCGCCGACAGUGGCCAUUAUUUUUGUCUGAUCUCCUGUGUCGAAGUAUGGUGGUUUUACUUUUCUUGUUACAUGUGAUACAAUUACUUGAGAUGUCCACGGUUAAUUAUCUUAAUAAGAGUCAGCAAACACAAAACACAUCCAGUGUGCCCAUUAACGCCAUCCAAAUAAUAAUAUGACUAAUCUGCACAUGUAGUUUCAAAAUGGGAACCACCCAGUAAAAGCUCCUAUGUCUGAACCUAACCAAUAGCCAGUAUUGGUUUGAUUGCCUUGUAGAAGAUGUUAUCCUCUCACUAGCAAAUCCUCGACCCAUCCGGUGGAUCGAAGGACACAAAGCGGAUCUUCGUGCCAAGCACAUCUAGGAAUCUGUAUGUUGGGCAGGUAAAGUUCAGGCUUCAUACUUUGCCUCAUAGUACCACAUGAAUGUGUCCUACGCAUACAAAUAUUUUGUGCUGGGAGCCCAAAAAAUAGCAAUAUCACAUGGAUACGACGUCAUUAACUGGUACACCUAUUAGUCUCAAAUUUCAUAGGGUCAAUAGAAUUCUUAACCCUUAACAGACAUUGUUGCAAAGAAACGUUGAACAACUUUGGAGAAAAGUUGGACCGCGAAAUCCAUGGUGUAUAACUGGUAUUUUUUGUCGAGAAUGUAUAACUAGUAUUUCCUUGCUAUAUGUAUUUCUAUCAUGAAAAGGGCUCUGUUGGAAACCGUAGAAUAAUACAUGCAUGCACAAAGAGUCAGUGUUGGAUCUUCAAUAUAUUGCAGGACUAAUGUAAUUAGAUGACAUCAGUGUUAUCUGCCGGUGUGCUGCAAGGUUUAGAUGAGGUGGACUCUGAAUCUGUGUCACUGAGCUUGAGGAGAGUAAUGCACUGGUCGUAGCCAUUGUAGCACCAGGUGGUAGGACCAAAACAUUUGCAUCUGUUGUUAUUGACAUGGUUGGAUCUUCAGGCUGGAAGCUUGCGUUAGUCGCAGCAAGGAUUACCAGCAGCAGCAACCAACCUGCAGAGAUGAAACUGCAUCACUACUAAUGCUUUAGGAGCAUACCCACCACCUGGUGGUCAAAGUGACAAGAGAACAUUUUCACAACCGGGGAAUAGAAAAGAAUAUGGAUGUGCCAGAAGAAGGAAAAUGUACAAUGAACCAGAAUGUACCAUGUCGAGUGGGAAUUCUCAAUUGACGAGACGCCAAUUCUCAAUUGACUUUAUCCCGUGCAUUGCGCCUUCCGUCCCAGACACCCCCGGCUUCUAUGGUGUCGACCGCUACUUUUCUGCCACGCCCACAUGUGGUUCAACGAUGACACAUAUGUGCAACUACUCGAGCAGGCGAUGAUGAAGGUGAGCGUUUGCUCGGUGGAGGCAGUGGAGGGCGAUGAUGAUGCCGGUAUGGACAUGAAGGCGGACGAAUCUAUUCCAAAGUUCUAUGCGUAGAGAAACUGCAGUAGCAAAUCUCGGGGCUGCAAUACAACGACUUGAUGGGGAGGAGCAUCUGGUAGAUAUACAUAGUGUUAGAUUGCUUUUGGACAAGUCAUCGUGUGUAAUGCAUCUUCAAACCAGGUGCAUAACGUAUAUCCUGGCCUCUGGUAAGUGCUCAGAUGGCUGGAUCCGCUCGUUGAUUUAGCAGGAUGGACAUAGUUACCUACCUGAUUCUAAUCACUCCUUUGCUUCCUCUGCCGGGGUUGAAGUUGGGAUUCUGCAGUCGAUGGGACCAACAACAUCCAUUUUUGUCUUUUUGGUUUUGAGUUUUUUUUGCAAUGGAAAUGAUGAUAGCUUUGCUUUUUGUUUACUUUUAUACUGUAGUCAUCGGUUUUAUUCAUUCACUCUACUUAUUAUCUGGUGAAAUCCAAAUAAUGGUAUCAGUUUCGUGCAUACAUGUCAGGCCGGCCCUCAUCCACAGGCCAGGGAUGGGCAUGGUUUUUCCAGGCCGUGAGCUUCAGAGUUGAGCUGGAUGCCCGCCCAGUGCACAAGUCUCCUGAACAUUCAUACGUUGUUGUUGUCCACUACUUCAGUGCAGCAGCAGCCCAAAAACAAUGAAGGUACCAUAGAACGCUGAACGCAUGCUAUAUCGUGCAUCAGAACGCAUGUGGUACCAAUGGACUCAGACCAAGGGAACAGCUUGUCUAUAUAUAUAAAUGAAGCCAUCGCCAUGUACAUUGCACCUUACUGCAUCCAAGUAAGUAUAGUCCUCCCUACACCACACUAGCUAGUGAUAAUUAUGUCACUCAUCUCCACAGCACUUGUGCUAGCUAAUUGUCCCCCUAGGUCUUUACUUGUACCUGCUGCGCUCUAGUCGUAGAAGAUCAAAUAACCCAGCAGCAGCAGUGUUCCCCACAAAAUGGCCAAUGCUAGGCAUGCUCCCUUCUCUCUUAACCAACAUGUACAACUUCCAUGAGUACAGUUAUUUGGUCCUCGCCCGAUCAGGCCUCAACUUCAAUGGGGACGGCGCGCCUGGGGCCGGGAUGCGGUUCUUCAUCACCUGCGACCCUGCCAACAUCCAGCACAUCUUCACGACCAACUACCACAACUUCCCCAAGGGCGCGG